Molecule: transfer RNA, 72 nt
Filed under: Hordeum vulgare
Lineage: Eukaryota; Viridiplantae; Streptophyta; Magnoliopsida; Poales; Poaceae
Description: tRNA-OTHER
Source: RNAcentral
UGCAUGUUAGCAAAGUGGUUUGGGUCUGUGGCUUGAUCCAGGGGGUCUUGGGUUCGAAACCCAGACCUGCCC